Molecule: ribosomal RNA, 492 nt
Filed under: uncultured bacterium
Lineage: Bacteria
Description: partial 16S ribosomal RNA
Rfam family: Bacterial small subunit ribosomal RNA
Source: RNAcentral
AGUGAACGCUGGCGGUAGGCCUAACACAUGCCAGUCGAACGGCAGCACAGUAAGAGCUUGCUCUUACGGGUGGCGAGUGGCGGACGGGUGAGGAAUACAUCGGAAUCUACUUUUUCGUGGGGGAUAACGUAGGGAAACUUACGCUAAUACCGCAUACGACCUACGGGUGAAAGCAGGGGAUCUUCGGACCUUGCGCGAUUGAAUGAGCCGAUGUCGGAUUAGCUAGUUGGCGGGGUAAAGGCCCACCAAGGCGACGAUCCGUAGCUGGUCUGAGAGGAUGAUCAGCCACACUGGAACUGAGACACGGUCCAGACUCCUACGGGAGGCAGCAGUGGGGAAUAUUGGACAAUGGGCGCAAGCCUGAUCCAGCCAUACCGCGUGGGUGAAGAAGGCCUUCGGGUCGUAAAGCCCUUUUGUUGGGAAAGAAAAGCAGCAGGUUAAUACCCCGCUGUUCUGACGGUACCCAAAGAAUAAGCACCGGCUAACUUCGUG